UGCAGUCGACGGUAACAUUUCUAGCUUGCUAGAAGAUGACGAGUGGCGGACGGGUGAGUAAUGCUUGGGAACUUGCCUUUGCGAGGGGGAUAACAGUUGGAAACGACUGCUAAUACCGCAUAAUGUCUUCGGACCAAACGGGGCUUCGGCUCCGGCGCAAAGAGAGGCCCAAGUGAGAUUAGCUAGUUGGUAAGGUAACGGCUUACCAAGGCGACGAUCUCUAGCUGUUCUGAGAGGAAGAUCAGCCACACUGGGACUGAGACACGGCCCAGACUCCUACGGGAGGCAGCAGUGGGGAAUAUUGCACAAUGGGGGAAACCCUGAUGCAGCCAUGCCGCGUGUGUGAAGAAGGCCUUCGGGUUGUAAAGCACUUUCAGUUGUGAGGAAAAGUUAGUAGUUAAUACCUGCUAGCCGUGACGUUAACAACAGAAGAAGCACCGGCUAACUCCGUGCCAGCAGCCGCGGUAAUACGGAGGGUGCGAGCGUUAAUCGGAAUUACUGGGCGUAAAGCGCACGCAGGCGGUUUGUUAAGCUAGAUGUGAAAGCCCCGGGCUCAACCUGGGAUGGUCAUUUAGAACUGGCAGACUAGAGUCUUGGAGAGGGGAGUGGAAUUCCAGGUGUAGCGGUGAAAUGCGUAGAUAUCUGGAGGAACAUCAGUGGCGAAGGCGACUCCCUGGCCAAAGACUGACGCUCAUGUGCGAAAGUGUGGGUAGCGAACAGGAUUAGAUACCCUGGUAGUCCACACCGUAAACGCUGUCUACUAGCUGUGUGUGUCUUUAAGGCGUGCGUAGCGAAGCUAACGCGCUAAGUAGACCGCCUGGGGAGUACGGCCGCAAGGUUAAAACUCAAAAUGAAUUUGACGGGGGCCCGCACAAGCGG
RNAcentral lists this ribosomal RNA (879 nucleotides) under Alteromonas macleodii. RNAcentral describes it as "bacterial SSU rRNA". It matches the Rfam family "Bacterial small subunit ribosomal RNA", at positions 56 to 932 of the family's 1533-position model. The record is from RNAcentral. Lineage: Bacteria; Pseudomonadati; Pseudomonadota; Gammaproteobacteria; Alteromonadales; Alteromonadaceae.